RNAcentral lists this ribosomal RNA (389 nucleotides) under Chaetoceros sp. Its description in RNAcentral is "partial small subunit ribosomal RNA". It matches the Rfam family "Eukaryotic small subunit ribosomal RNA", at positions 582 to 975 of the family's 1831-position model. Lineage: Eukaryota; Bacillariophyta; Thalassiosirophyceae; Chaetocerotales; Chaetocerotaceae. The record is from RNAcentral.
AUUCCAGCUCCAAUAGCGUAUAUUAAAGUUGUUGCAGUUAAAAAGCUCGUAGUUGGAUUUCCGGCGUGAGGGAUCAGUCUGACUUCUAGUCAGUACUUGGUCCUCUCAUGCCGUCCUUGAAUGGUGCAUCCUGGCAUUAAGUUGUCGGGGUGAGAGCCGUUCAUCGUUUACUGUGAGAAAAUUAGAGUGUUCAAAGCAGGCUUAUGCCGUUGAAUAUAUUAGCAUGGAAUAAUAAGAUAGGACUUUGGUACUAUUUUGUUGGUUUGAGAACCAAGGUAAUGAUCAAUAGGGACAGUUGGGGGUAUUCGUAUUCAGUUGUCAGAGGUGAAAUUCUUAGAUUUCCGGAAGACGAACUACUGCGAAAGCAUUUACCAAGGAUGUUUUCAUUA